CCGGUGAACCUGUUUAUCUGCGA
Molecule: non-coding RNA, 23 nt
Filed under: Arabidopsis thaliana (thale cress)
Lineage: Eukaryota; Viridiplantae; Streptophyta; Magnoliopsida; Brassicales; Brassicaceae
Source: RNAcentral